Molecule: unclassified non-coding RNA, 4195 nt
Filed under: Leishmania donovani
Lineage: Eukaryota; Euglenozoa; Kinetoplastea; Trypanosomatida; Trypanosomatidae
Description: gene:LdHU3.34.0690(CDS-product:importin_beta-1_su bunit_putative)
Source: RNAcentral
AAACCACAAUAAGUAGACUGUAGCACCUCACUUGCACAGACCAAUACUCAGACGAACAUAGUGAUCCCUCUCUCUAUAUAUAUAUAUGCACAAGCGCACACACGCUCGCGCACCAAGCAGUCCGGUACAGUGCACUCUGUUCCAACCUCUAUCUGUACAAGUGUCCACAUCUGCGCCUCGUACAACAGGGGGUGGGGUGGGGUAGGGCGAAAAGCAGAAACGCGGAAGGCACGCACGCGUCUUAGCAGGAGUGUUUUGGGUUGUCUGUGGGGCUGCUCAGGCGCUGCAGAAGCGACGCUCGCGAGGGGGGUACCGCUGUGGGUGUUUAUAGCUGCUUGGGACGCACACGCUUUCCUCAGAGAGCUCUUUCAGGCAUACUUGCUCUCUCCCACCCCCUGCAGGAGCGUGCGUCACCUCUACUGUGCGUGUGCGGGCUCGAAUUCAUUUCUGUCGCUGUGUUGCGCACUGCCGUUGAAGAAGCCGAUCCGUAAAUAGGAAACGAAGAAAGCCGCUCGUGAUGGCGAACAUUACGGACCUUCUCAUGGCUCUGGGCAACCCGGAGCCGUCUAUCCGGGUGCCCGCAGAGACCGCUGUGAACAAUGCCAAGGAGACCGACCUCGCCACCUUCAUGACGACAAUGCUGCAGGAGUUCCGGGACGAGAGCAAGCCGACUUUUGCCCGAAACAUGGCGGGCACGCUGCUAAAGAAUGCAGUGGCGCCAUCCUUUCGAGAAGUGGCGGCACGGCACGCGCUGGAGGAACGUUGGCGCGCUCUGCCUGCGGAUGUGCGGCUGCACAUCAAGAAUGAGGUUCUGAGUACUCUCGGCAGCCCCAAUCGCGAUGUGCGCACAGUUGCCGCCAACAUCGUUGGCAGCCUCGCGCGUAGCGAGCUGCCUUCUGGGGAGUGGCCGCAGCUGAUGGGCAUUCUUGUCGGCGCAGCGCAGUCUGCCUCGGAGCAGCACCAGGAGGCAGCCCUCACCGCCAUCGGCUACAUUUGCGAGGAGGGUAAGGAUCACGAGGAGGUGGAGGGGGCGCUGAAACCGAGCACGACAGACGUGCUCUCUGUGAUUGUGCAGUGCAUGGCAAGCACCAACGAGGAUGUCAAGCUCAGCGCCACGAAUGCCUUGUGCAAUGCGAUGGAGUAUAUCCACGACAACAUGGACGUCCCGGAGCAGCGCAGCUACCUCGUGACGGCGCUGUGUGAAACGGCGAAGUCGUGCACGACGGCGCGUACUCGAGAGCGCGCCAUGGAGAGCUUGGUGAAGGUGGCGGAGCUCUACUACUCGACGCUGCCGGACUACAUCGCGCGUCUCCACGAAAUCACCACAAACGCAAUUUUUCACGACGAGGAGGCGGUGGGCCUGCAGGCUAUCCAGUUUUGGAUCUCGAUCUGCGAGCUGGAGCGGGACAUGAAGGAGGGCGGCGACGUGCAGUCGAGCCUGAACUACAGCGCGCAGGGGCUCACGUUCCUUGUCGACAUCUGCAAGCAGCUCCUCGUCCAACAAGAAGAGGACCAGACGGAGGAUGACUGGAACCUCUCCGUGGCCGGUGGCAAGCUGUUGCAGAGCCUCGCCGAGGCCGUCGGUAUCCCCAUCCAGAGGCCCGUGAUGGAUUUCGUGUACGCCAACAUUAACAGCACAGAGUGGCGCAAACGCGAGGCAUCCGUGAUGGCGUUCGGGUGUAUCAUCGGAGUCCAGGAAACGGCGGCGCAGGAAGCCAUUCAGGACACUGUGGCGCAGGCGGUCCCCGGCCUCAUGGAGUACCUCCGCGACUCGAACGAGAUGGUGGCGGACACGAGUGCGUGGGUGCUGGCGCUGGUGUGCGAGAACUUCGUCGACAUCUUCCUGCAGACGCCCGAUCUACUGCAGCGCUUAAUGAACGAUGUCGGUCCGAUGAUCGGUGGCGAAAACGCGCGCAUGGGCGUUCGUGCGUGCCACAUCAUCAACAACAUCGCGCUGGCGUACGAGGAAGAGGAGGAUCAGCAGACAAACGAGAUUUCGCGCUACUAUGGCGACCUCGUCGUCGUUCUUCUGCACGCUAUCGACCACGGCACCACGAACGACUUUAAGAGUGCUGCUCAAGAGACGCUGAAUGCCCUCGUAGACGCGGCCGCGAAUGACUGCUGCAGCGCCUACCUAAUUCAAUUGCCUCAGGAACUGCUAGCACGCAUGGGCCCGCAGCUCAACGCGCUGCGACAGUCCAGCGGCGACAACAUUGAAGCUGAGGCGAUGAUGGGCCUGCUCUGCGGCGCGCUCUCGGCCCUUGCGCGCAAGCUGGGUCAGAGCUUUAUGCCAUUCCUAGACGCUUCCAUGCAAGCCCUCAUUCAGGUGAUCGAGCUCCCCACUGACUACGUGCAGCAGGAGGCGCUGGUGGCGAUUGGCAGUAUCGCCUACGUUGCCAAGGAGCAACUGGCACCCUACCUAGCGAAGGUCAUUCCGCACGUGCUGAAGUACUUGCAGGCUUUCGACGAACCGGACAGCAUCUACGGCGUGGUGGCUGCGGUGGGCGACCUCAGUCUCUCCUGUCGCCUCUCGCUGCUGCCCUUCGAGUCCGAUAUCAUGAACACCCUGUACGUCAACCUCACGAACACCGAGGUGGAUCGCGAGCUCAAGUGCUCAUUUCUCAGCUGCUUUAGCGACUUUAUUCUCAACGUGCUGGGCAGCGAGCGUUUUAAGCCGUACAUGGCCGCGCUGCUGCCGCUGGUGGACCGACUCUUCCGCGCCAGCUGCGAGAUCGACAUCCGCGGCGACCCAGAAGGCGAGGAGUACGUGAUGAGUCUCUGGGAGACGACCGCCUCCUUCUACUCCUCCGUCACCCAGUGUUUCAAGAGCAGUGACGUCGAUGCCCUUGCGCCGUACCUGGCAAACAUUUUGAACUUUGCCCUUCACGCCGCCACGAACGCCGGCGAGUUCGAGGAGACGCAGAUGGCGGCACUCAUGGUCAUUGGCGACAUGGCAUCGGUGCUACGCCACGUACCCGAUCCGCAGAUGCGGGCGCAGGCGAAGCAGGCGCUGCUGGCAGACGCCGUGAACGGGGCUCUGAACCAAGCGCUGUGCAGCAGCACCUCUGAGGACAACAAGAAGCAGAUAAAGUGGAUCCGGAAUCAGCUGAGUCACCUCCAGCGCUCAUGAUCGCCCCAGGCGAGGGGUGGAGCGGCGCUGCUCUCAACACACACGACUGUGUUGGUGUGUGCAUAUCUUCGGGCCUUUGCCUCGGACGCGCACGCGGGCCGGAAUGCGGGCAUCCGUGUUGUCCACUGCCAUCCUCAUAGAAGGGAGUCCUGUGCGCGGGCAAGCGGCCACCGACACGCCUUGUGCACGCAUUUGGCAGUGUGCAUGUGUGCGUUCGUUACACGCGUUCAAGGCAUUACUGUUCGUGCAGCUUAUGCGCGCGUGCUUGCCUGCUCGUCGUCGUAUUCCUCUCGCUCGCUCCCCGUGUACGUCUGAGUGGUUGACGUCUUUGUCUCAGAAGGUAAGGCACCGCGCCCCCCCACCCCACCCGCUCACUCCCUUAACAUGGGCGGCUCAACACCGCUAAUAAGCUAAGAGGGUCUGAAAGGCCCCUUAAGUCGCUGGUGCUCGCUUGUGUGUGUGUGUGUGUGUGUGUGUGUGUGUGUGUGUGUGUGUGUGUGUGUGUGUGUGUGUCAGUGAUUGUUUUUGCCGUUGUUGUUUUCUGCGCCCCAUGGUCAUGGGGCGGCACCGCCCAACGUGGAACGAAAGCAUAGAGGGGCGACGCUCGCGCACCGGCGGCUUCUUGGCCGUGCGCGCCAUGGUGGUGUUUGGCGUGUUUUUGUGCGUGUGGUGGUGAUGGUGGUGGAAGGCGUCUAUGAUCCCCCGCUGAGCACUGUGUGUGUGUGUGUGUCGUCUCUGUCUCACGGCAUAUGGAGCAGCCUCGCUCACCAGCAUUCGCGACACCGUCUGCGUGCUUGAGGGAGCAUACAACAUGCAGCCACAGUCGACAGAGAUGAACGUGGCCCCAUCGUCGGGCUCUUUCAGUGCCGCCGCCCUCAGCGGCGCCGCUGCACGUGCUCCCACUCGGCCGCUUCCCAGAAUCUCUACCAACUGAUUAUCAUACACGGCACAUGGCACAGCUCUUGAGGGGUGAUAUGAGGGUGCGGCAUUGCGCUCCUCCUCCUCCUCCUCCCCCCUUACACACUCCGCCCUCUCCCUCGCUUCAUUCUCUCACUCCACUCGAAG